CGUACAGUGGCUUAGUGGUUAGCACGUUCGCCUCACAACUCAAGGGUUGGGGUUUCGAUUCCAGCCUGUGUGU
This is a non-coding RNA of Ameiurus melas (black bullhead), 73 nucleotides long. The record is from the annotation of a GenBank genome assembly. NCBI's taxonomy places the organism in Eukaryota, Metazoa, Chordata, Actinopteri, Siluriformes, Ictaluridae.